Molecule: ribosomal RNA, 253 nt
Filed under: uncultured bacterium
Lineage: Bacteria
Description: partial 16S ribosomal RNA
Rfam family: Bacterial small subunit ribosomal RNA
Source: RNAcentral
UACGUAGGUGGCAAGCGUUGUCCGGAAUUAUUGGGCGUAAAGCGCGCGCAGGCGGUCCUUUAAGUCUGAUGUGAAAGCCCACGGCUCAACCAUGGAGGGUCAUUGGAAACUGGGGGACUUGAGUGCAGGAGAGAAGAGUGGAAUUCCACGUGUAGCGGUGAAAUGCGUAGAGAUGGGGAGGAACACCAGUGGCGAAGGCGACUCUUUGGCCUGUAACUGACGUUGAGGCGCGAAAGCGUGGGGAGCAAACAGG